This is a transfer RNA of 76 nucleotides. It matches the Rfam family "tRNA". From Rfam's summary of the family: Transfer RNA (tRNA) molecules are approximately 80 nucleotides in length.
GUGGUCGAAGCCUAAGCGGUCGUGGCACUCGCCUGUGAAGCGAGGAAAGUGGGUUCGAGCCCCACCGAUCACACCA